CACGUAGGGGGGCGAGCGUUGUUCGGAAUUACUGGGCGUAAAGGGCAUGUAGGCGGUCUGGUAAGCCUGGCGUGAAAGGCCACAGCUCAACUGUGGGAUUGCGUUGGGAACUGCUGGGCUUGAGUUACGGAGAGGGAGCUAGAAUUCCUGGUGUAGGGGUGAAAUCUGUAGAUAUCAGGAAGAAUACCGAUGGCGAAGGCAAGCUCCGGGCCGAUAACUGACGCUGAGGUGCGAAAGUGUGGGGAUCAAACAGG
This 254-nucleotide ribosomal RNA is filed under the name uncultured bacterium. RNAcentral describes it as "partial 16S ribosomal RNA". It matches the Rfam family "Bacterial small subunit ribosomal RNA", at positions 524 to 776 of the family's 1533-position model. The record is from RNAcentral.